Molecule: long non-coding RNA, 2694 nt
Organism: Oncorhynchus masou masou (cherry salmon)
Lineage: Eukaryota; Metazoa; Chordata; Actinopteri; Salmoniformes; Salmonidae
Exons: 3
Source: RefSeq, a predicted model, not a curated record
AACACAUACACACGGAACUAUGCUCAACUCUCCUUUGCUGGUUCAGCCAGCCUUCCAGAAGCUUUGCCUCCACACAGCAUGUCAGCCCCCUCUGUGGUGUCUUCCUGGUCCUAAAUCAAUCCGUUGUAUCAUAAUGCAAUUAUAUAUAUAUUUUUUUUUGCAUUUCAGAAUGUGGUGGGGACACGACUCUCAUCCCCAGUUAAAAUUUCGCCACUGGCAGCAUACAUAAAGUGCCCAUCUAUACAUCCCUUGCCAUUUCCAUGUGACAAAGACUAUGGCCUUUUCAAAUACAUUCCUGCUCGAAUUCAAGGAAAGACUGAUACAGACCAAGUCGUUAACAUGUCACGCUGGAGAGCGACAUAAAUGAGGAAGAGCUAGAUGAGAUGAUGACCACGCUCGGUAGAGUAGCCUAUUCAUUCGUUUAUUCUGCGCGCUCGAUUGGUCCAAAAUACUCUACUGUACGGCGAGGGAGUGAACGCUGACUUGAGAGAUAUUUUUUGAGAAGCUCAUCGGAAACUAUCUUCCUCCAUUUUUUAAUAAGAACGUCGUAAAUUGUACAAUUCUUGAAAUAGUUCGAACCUUAGAAUUACGCCCACGUGAUUGUCUGGUGACAGACAAGUCACUCCAUCAAGGAGGUGCUGUAACGGUUGUCCCUGAAAGAGAUUCCCUAAAAACGGUUUUUAGCUGAACAAUUCUAACCGAACGAGGUUGGCUCAAGGAGGAGGACACACAAUAGCGCGCCGCGAUAUUAACCGCGUGGCUAACAAAAGAAAACAGCCUUGGUUUUUGACACUUUCGCGGUUUACAGAAAUUCAAGUAUUCAGCAAGACCCCUUUGUCAACCCAUGAGAAAAUAGUGGAUUCGCUUUUUAGGUUCAUGUUCUGAACUCUCAAGGAAUCUCCACCUCAUUUGGUGUCCAUCAUGGACUUUUAAGGUGUCCAUCAUGUUGUCAACUAUGGACCACUUCAAGACAUUGAGCCCCACACGCAGGCAUAUGGAAGAGCAAGGAGGGACGGCACAAGCUCACGUGGAUCAAAAUGAGUUGGAGGACGAGAAAAUUGCCAAGACUCCUGACACUUUGGUUGGCUCAGAGAAAUGGCGAUGCCUACUGCAAACGUCCUUGUUCCGCGAGCGUCUCAUUGAAAUGGCUGUCAAUGAGAUCCCUACUGUGGUUCAAUGGCAGCUUUUCGGAAGUCGGUGGAAUGGUUGGCGACCUGCGGUCGCUCUUACCAUUUUCAGACCUGGCAGUCACAGCUACAGCUUCCAAGGCUACAAUGAAGAGCAUAAUGAAGCACCUGGGCGUUCGGUGAGGUGGUGAAAAGUCCUGACAGGGACAACAUCAGACUGGCAAUGAAGAAGGUGUCGUCUGACCCUGUUGAGACAUUGUCAUGGUUGGUCAAAGAGUUGGCCUGAAAGGGGCCUGAGACCCCAAGGACUGUCAUAUACUGUAAGAGUAGUAAAGACUGUUCUUUGCUGUACAGCAAGGUUUCUCAGCGUUUCUUUGGGGAGAAUUCGGUGCAUCGAGCAGGAGUAGAGGACACACGGGAAAACAGUCUUUUUGACAUGAACCACUCAGAGACACCCGAGCACAUACAACUGCACAUCAUCUCCGGUCUUGGAAGAUAAGUAAAUCUAAUCUUCGAGUUGUGAUGGCUUCUUCAGCACAGGGAAUGGGGGUGGACUUUUAGGGUGUCCAUCAUUUCGUCAACUAUGGACCACUUCCAGACAUUGAGCCCCACAUGCUGGCAUAUGGAAGAGCGGGGAGGGAGGGCACAAGCUCACGUUCACUUAUCGUGUACAAUGGAAGGCAGCUUGUUGGGAGUUUGGGAUAAGAUGAGAAUGUAUGUGUCAAACAGUACGAGCUGCAGGAGGGUGAAAGUGUUACAUCUUUUUAAAGAUGUCACGCAACCAAUAUCACCCAAACAUGACUGCUGUGAAAAUCACGCUACCUCAUGCAACUGCAGGGCAAUUAUAGUCCUUUGGAGAGGCAUGCAGGACAACAAUUACAAACAUUACAGACUGGUCAGUGAAGAGUGUAGGCAAUACCUGAGAAAGGAAUGACAUGACCUUGCACUUGAGAUGGCGCACACAGGUGUUCAUGGAAGUGUCUGUUUAUUGCACAUCAUCCAAUGUGGGUAACCCUGACAAAAUCAUGGACAACAUUCUGAGCACAAUUCCCUUUUCUCAAUUUUUUCUGCUCUGCCCAUUACUGACAUGAGACAUGCAAUAGCCCUACUAUCUAUCAUCACUGAAAUUUUGGGGGAUGUUUAAGACUUGAGUGAUGAUGAUGAUGAUGAUGAUGAUGAUGAUUCAGUGUUGGGACACCUUGAGGCUUUUGCAAACAUGACUGUGUAUACAUGAGGACUUUUAUAUUCUGUGUUGUCAAAUUAAUACUGUAGGUAUUAUCUCCUCUGCUUAACACUUCGAAAGACUUAUGUAGUCAAAUAUAUUAUUGUUGUGGAUACAGGCCCUCUUACCAUUGAGCUGUAGCUGUAUGGAAUAGUAGAAUGUAUGCCAUACACACACUGUAAAUACAUAAUUUGGCUUAAAGAUUUGUUCUAACACUCAUUUUCAGUUAUAUAAAGUAUAGAGUAGGCCAAAAUGUGACCUGUCACCCAUAGUUAGUUAGUUCCUAAUGAGCAUUUUGAAUAUCUCCCUUUUCUCCUUCACUGGACUUCAAUAAAUAAUCAAGAU